AGAGAGAGACAUGCGCGCAUAUCAAUAAGCGGAGGAAAAGAGACUAACAAGGAUUCCCUUAGUAACGGCGAGUGAAGCGGGAAGAGCUCAAAUUUGAAAUCUUCAAGGUUCUACCUUGACGAAUUGUAGUUUAUAGAAGUGUUUUCUGUUAGUGGAGUGGCAAAAGUUCUUUGGAAUAGGACAUCAUAGAGGGUGAGAAUCCCGUAUUUGGUCAUUCCUCCUAGCGUUGUGAUACACUUUCAACGAGUCGGAUUGUUUGGGAAUGCAGUCCAAAAUGGGUGGUAAAUUUCAUCUAAAGCUAAAUAUUGGCGAGAGACCGAUAGCGAACAAGUACCAUGAGGGAAAGAUGAAAAGAACUUUGAAAAGAGAGUUAAACAGUACGUGAAAUUGUCAAAAGGGAAGCGUUUGACACCAGUGUUGUUUUUCCGAAAAUCAAUUACGAAUGUUUUGUUUUUGAGGAGUUAUGACUUCAUCGGCUUGCUCCUUUCUUUACGAAACUUUCUUAAUGCACUUUUCGGUUAACAAGUCAACAUCAAUUUCUUUUGUUGUAAAAGGGUAUGAGGAAGGUGGCUUUCUUUUCGGAGAAAGUGUUUAUAGCCUUGUGCCUCUGCAAUCGGAGAGAUUGAGGUCUGCAGCGUAGAUCCCUCGGGGUUAGAUACGUUUGUGCUAAGUUAUAGCUUUUCAUAGACAACUUGUUGACUGUGUUUAGUCUUGUAGCUUACUCGCUGACGCUAUUUUACCUACGCUUAGGAUGUUGAUAGUCACAGCGUGUAC
RNAcentral lists this ribosomal RNA (774 nucleotides) under uncultured Neocallimastigales. Its description in RNAcentral is "partial large subunit ribosomal RNA". It matches the Rfam family "Eukaryotic large subunit ribosomal RNA", at positions 23 to 644 of the family's 3401-position model. Lineage: Eukaryota; Fungi; Neocallimastigomycota; Neocallimastigomycetes; Neocallimastigales. The record is from RNAcentral.